UGGGGAAUAUUGCACAAUGGGCGCAAGCCCGAUGCAGCGACGCCGCGUGGGGGAUGACGGCCUUCGGGUUGUAAACUCCUUUCGCCAGGGACGAAGCGUUUUGUGACGGUACCUGGAGAAGAAGCACCGGCUAACUACGUGCCAGCAGCCGCGGUAAUACGUAGGGUGCAAGCGUUGUCCGGAAUUACUGGGCGUAAAGAGCUCGUAGGUGGUUUGUCACGUCGUCUGUGAAAUUCCACAGCUUAACUGUGGGCGUGCAGGCGAUACGGGCUGACUUGAGUACUGUAGGGGUAACUGGAAUUCCUGGUGUAGCGGUGAAAUGCGCAGAUAUCAGGAGGAACACCGAUGGCGAAGGCAGGUUACUGGGCAGUUACUGACGCUGAGGAGCGAAAGCAUGGGUAGCAAACAGGAUUAGAUACCCUGGUAGUCCAUGCCGUAAACGGUGGGCGCUAGGUGUAGGGGCCUUUUGGGGUUUCUGUGCCGUAGCUAACGCAUUAAGCGCCCCGCCUGGGGNUNNNNNGNCNGCAAGGCUA
RNAcentral lists this ribosomal RNA (533 nucleotides) under uncultured bacterium. RNAcentral describes it as "bacterial SSU rRNA". It matches the Rfam family "Bacterial small subunit ribosomal RNA", at positions 355 to 896 of the family's 1533-position model. The record is from RNAcentral.